This 497-nucleotide ribosomal RNA is filed under the name uncultured bacterium. RNAcentral describes it as "partial 16S ribosomal RNA". It matches the Rfam family "Bacterial small subunit ribosomal RNA", at positions 28 to 507 of the family's 1533-position model. The record is from RNAcentral.
GAUGAACGCUGGCGGCGUGCCUAAUACAUGCAAGUCGAGCGAACAGACGAUGAGCUUGCUCCUCUGACGUUAGCGGCGGACGGGUGAGUAACACGUGGAUAACCUACCUAUAAGACUGGUAUAACUUCGGGAAACCGGAGCUAAUACCGGAUAAGAUAUUGAACCGCAGGGUUCAAUAGUGAAUGACGGUUUUGGUGUCACGUAUAGAUGGAUCCGCGCUGCAUUAGCUAGUUGGUAAGGUAACGGCUUACCAAGGCAACGAGGCGUAGCCGAAGUGAGAGAGUGAUAGGCCACACUGGAACGGGACCACGGUCAAGACUCCUACGGGAGGCAGCAGUCGGGAAUCUGACGCAAUGGGCGAAAGCUUGACGGAGCAAGGCCGCGUGAGUGAUGAAGGUCUUCGGAUCGUAAAACUCUGUUAUUGGGGAAGAACAAAUGUGUAAGUAACUAUGCACGUAUUGACGGUAACUAAUCAGAAAGCCACGGCUAACUACGUG